UAGAGUUUGAUCCUGGCUCAGAUUGAACGCUGGCGGCAGGCCUAACACAUGCAAGUCGAGCGGAUGAGUGGAGCUUGCUCCAUGAUUCAGCGGCGGACGGGUGAGUAAUGCCUAGGAAUCUGCCUGGUAGUGGGGGACAACGUUUCGAAAGGAACGCUAAUACCGCAUACGUCCUACGGGAGAAAGCAGGGGACCUUCGGGCCUUGCGCUAUCAGAUGAGCCUAGGUCGGAUUAGCUAGUUGGUGGGGUAAAGGCCUACCAAGGCGACGAUCCGUAACUGGUCUGAGAGGAUGAUCAGUCACACUGGAACUGAGACACGGUCCAGACUCCUACGGGAGGCAGCAGUGGGGAAUAUUGGACAAUGGGCGAAAGCCUGAUCCAGCCAUGCCGCGUGUGUGAAGAAGGUCUUCGGAUUGUAAAGCACUUUAAGUUGGGAGGAAGGGCAGUAAGUUAAUACCUUGCUGUUUUGACGUUACCAACAGAAUAAGCACCGGCUAACUUCGUGCCAGCAGCCCCGGUCAA
RNAcentral lists this ribosomal RNA (522 nucleotides) under uncultured bacterium. Its description in RNAcentral is "bacterial SSU rRNA". It matches the Rfam family "Bacterial small subunit ribosomal RNA", at positions 1 to 524 of the family's 1533-position model. The record is from RNAcentral.